GACGAACGCUGGCGGCGUGCCUAACACAUGCAAGUCGAGCGGGGAUUUAAGUGGAAGUUCUUCGGAAUGGAGAUUUAAAUUCUAGCGGCGGACGGGUGAGUAACGCGUGAACAAUCUGUCCCGGACAGGGGGAUAACACUUGGAAACAGGUGCUAAUACCGCAUAAGACCACGGCCUCGCAUGGGGCUGAGGUAAAAGGAGCAAUCCGGUUCGGGGUGAGUUCGCGUCCGAUUAGCUAGUUGGUGAGGUAACGGCCCACCAAGGCGACGAUAGGUAGCCGGCCUGAGAGGGUGAACGGCCACAUUGGAACUGAGAGACGGUCCAAACUCCUACGGGAGGCAGCAGUGGGGAAUAUUGGGCAAUGGGCGAAAGCCUGACCCAGCAACGCCGCGUGAGGGAAGAAGGUUUUCGGAUUGUAAACCUCUGUCCUAUGGGACGAAGGAAGUGACGGUACCAUAGGAGGAAGCCCCGGCUAACUACGUG
This 483-nucleotide ribosomal RNA is filed under the name uncultured bacterium. RNAcentral's name for it is "partial 16S ribosomal RNA". It matches the Rfam family "Bacterial small subunit ribosomal RNA", at positions 28 to 507 of the family's 1533-position model. The record is from RNAcentral.